GACGAACGCUGGCGGCGUGCUUAACACAUGCAAGUCGAACGGAAAGGCCCUGCUUUUGUGGGGUGCUCGAGUGGCGAACGCGUGAGUAACACGUGAGUAACCUGCCCUUGACUUUGGGAUAACUUCAGGAAACUGGGGCUACUACCGGAUAGGAGCUCCUGCUGCAUGGUGGGGGUUGGAAAGUUUCGGCGGUUGGGGAUGGACUCGCGGCUUAUCAGCUUGUUGGUGGGGUAGUGGCUUACCAAGGCUUUGACGGGUAGCCGGCCUGAGAGGGUGACCGGCCACAUUGGGACUGAGAGACGGCGCAGACUCCUACGGGAGGCAGCAGUGGGGAAUAUUGCACAAUGGGCGGAAGCCUGAUGCAGCAACGCCGCGUGCGGGAUGACGGCCUUCGGGUUGUAAACCGCUUUCGCCUGUGACGAAGCGUGAGUGACGGUAAUGGGUAAAGAAGCACCGGCUAACUACGUG
RNAcentral lists this ribosomal RNA (468 nucleotides) under uncultured bacterium. RNAcentral describes it as "partial 16S ribosomal RNA". It matches the Rfam family "Bacterial small subunit ribosomal RNA", at positions 28 to 507 of the family's 1533-position model. The record is from RNAcentral.